This 528-nucleotide ribosomal RNA is filed under the name uncultured bacterium. RNAcentral's name for it is "bacterial SSU rRNA". It matches the Rfam family "Bacterial small subunit ribosomal RNA", at positions 8 to 526 of the family's 1533-position model. The record is from RNAcentral.
AGAGUUUGAUCAUGGCUCAGGAUGAACGCUAGCGGCAGGCCUAAUACAUGCAAGUCGGACGGGAUCCAUCGGAGAGCUUGCUCGAAGAUGGUGAGAGUGGCGCACGGGUGCGUAACGCGUGAGCAACCUACCUCUAUCAGGGGGAUAGCCUCUCGAAAGAGAGAUUAACACCGCAUAACAUAUCUGACCGGCAUCGGUUAGCUAUUAAAUAUUUAUAGGAUAGAGAUGGGCUCGCGUGACAUAGCUAGUUGGUAGGGUAACGGCUUACCAAGGCGACGAUGUCUAGGGGCUCUGAGAGGAGAAUCCCCCACACUGGUACUGAGACACGGACCAGACUCCUACGGGAGGCAGCAGUAAGGAAUAUUGGUCAAUGGGCGGAAGCCUGAACCAGCCAUGCCGCGUGCAGGAUGACUGCCCUAUGGGUUGUAAACUGCUUUUGUCCAGGAAUAAACCUUUCUACGUGUAGGGAGCUGAAUGUACUGGAAGAAUAAGGAUCGGCUAACUCCGUGCCAGCCGCCGCGGUAAUAC